GUGAGUUGGAUCCCAGACAUUGGAGGG
RNAcentral lists this unclassified non-coding RNA (27 nucleotides) under Mus musculus (house mouse). Its description in RNAcentral is "oocyte_clustered_small_RNA12070". The record is from RNAcentral. Lineage: Eukaryota; Metazoa; Chordata; Mammalia; Rodentia; Muridae.